RNAcentral lists this ribosomal RNA (308 nucleotides) under uncultured bacterium. RNAcentral describes it as "bacterial SSU rRNA". It matches the Rfam family "Bacterial small subunit ribosomal RNA", at positions 30 to 334 of the family's 1533-position model. The record is from RNAcentral.
AUUGAACGCUGGCGGCAUGCCUAACACAUGCAAGUCGAACGGAAACGAUGGGAGCUUGCUCCCAGGCGUCGAGUGGCGGACGGGUGAGUAAUACUUAGGAAUCUGCCCAUUAGUGGGGGACAACAUUCGGAAACGGAUGCUAAUACCGCAUACGCCCUACGGGGGAAAGCGGGGGAUCUUCGGACCUCGCGCUAAUGGAUGAGCCUAAGUCGGAUUAGCUUGUUGGUGAGGUAAUGGCUCACCAAGGCGACGAUCCGUAGCUGGUCUGAGAGGACGAUCAGCCACACUGGGACUGAGACACGGCCCAG